Molecule: non-coding RNA, 217 nt
Organism: Pelobates cultripes (western spadefoot toad)
Lineage: Eukaryota; Metazoa; Chordata; Amphibia; Anura; Pelobatidae
Source: the annotation of a GenBank genome assembly
CUUUAUUGGAUAAUGUUAACCACCAAGAUUAAAGACUGACUAACAUUUUUUUAAUGUAAGCCCAGAUAUUUUAUUAUUAUAUAUGCAUAGAAGUCGAGACUUUGGGCAUUAUAGUGUAUUGAUUCUAGAUCUGUUACUAGCAGCAAGUGCUUAGCCUUAUGCCUAUCCCACGCAUGCUUAAACACUCCUUUACUGUGUUAACUUCUAUCACUUCAGC